UUUCCCCCUUUUCUUUUGUCACAGUAAUUGUUUUUGUAGGGUCUUAGAAAUUAGGGUUUUGAAUGGCACUGUUACACUCUUUCCCAUCCCAAAUCUCAUUGCUUCAACUUCAAUCCCACAGACAAUUCCCAAUUCCACCAUCAAUCUCCCCACUAAUUUCUUCAAUAUCACUCUCUGCACCAACCAAUCUUCAUUACCCAUCCCUUCAAUCACUUCGCUGUAGCUCAAGCUCGAGUUUUUCAGUACAUGAUGCGUCUCCUUUCACGAAAAUCUUCAUAAAAGGAUUCGAUAUAUGGCAUCUAUUCCAUGGGUGAUUGCCUUUACCAUUAGGCCGAGACACCAAUGAAUUUCUUUUUGGUGUUGGCAGGAGAGCCCAUUAAGUGUGGGAGAGAAUAAUAAUUUUUCUGAAGCCUUUGGAGCUAACUGAUGCAGGACUACCACAAUCAAUGUCUGAGGGACGUUUGCAGAGGACUUUUUCACAGUUUGGUGAAGUAAGCCAAGUGAAAAUGAUUAUGGAUACAAAAUCCAGGCAGCCUUUAGGGUUUGCAUAUAUCUGGUUUACUACAGAAGACUCUGCGGAAUUGGCAGUGAAAGAGAUGAAUGGAAAGUUUUUUGAUGGCAGGUUUGUUUAUGUAACAAUUGCAAAACCUGCACCAUCCAAAAGUUGGAAGAGACCUUACAAGUUCUAAUUUGAACAGUCUUAAAACUCUUUUGAAGUUAUUAAAAUUUUCCAUUCCCAGGUGGGCAAAAUUAGGUGAGAGGCCGAUGAAUGUAAUGCAAAAAUAAUUAACACCACCAGUUGUUGGUGUAUUUGGGGGAAAGGGGGGCACUAAUUAUGGAGUUAGGCUGUACCCAUCAAAGUGAGAAUUUUGCUACCAAGAACUGAAUACUGCAUUUACCUUUUACAUUCAUAAAACCUUAAUUUAAGCUUUGUUACCCUUUAUACUUUCAUUUACGGAUACAACAUGUAACUUGUUGCGAUUAGUAUAUAAUAAAAAUUGUUAGCGAUGGUCAGUGUG
Quercus lobata is the source of this 1019-nucleotide RNA transcript. It is a transcript of the gene named organelle RRM domain-containing protein 6, chloroplastic-like, with no coding region annotated. The record is from RefSeq and is a predicted model, not a curated record. Lineage: Eukaryota; Viridiplantae; Streptophyta; Magnoliopsida; Fagales; Fagaceae. The transcript is spliced from 5 exons.